RNAcentral lists this ribosomal RNA (254 nucleotides) under uncultured bacterium. RNAcentral describes it as "partial 16S ribosomal RNA". It matches the Rfam family "Bacterial small subunit ribosomal RNA", at positions 524 to 776 of the family's 1533-position model. The record is from RNAcentral.
CACGUAGGGUGCGAGCGUUGUCCGGAAUUAUUGGGCGUAAAGAGCUCGUAGGCGGUGUGUCGCGUCGGCCGUGAAAACCUGCAGCUUAACUGUGGGCUUGCGGUCGAUACGGGCAUCACUGGAGUUCGGCAGGGGAGACUGGAAUUCCUGGUGUAGCGGUGAAAUGCGUAGAUAUCUGGAGGAACACCGGUGGCGAAGGCGGCAUCCUGGACCGGCAUUGACGCUGAGGCGCGAAAGCCAGGGGAGCAAACGGG